Molecule: ribosomal RNA, 504 nt
Filed under: Pseudomonas sp. FS36(2011)
Lineage: Bacteria; Pseudomonadati; Pseudomonadota; Gammaproteobacteria; Pseudomonadales; Pseudomonadaceae
Description: bacterial SSU rRNA
Rfam family: Bacterial small subunit ribosomal RNA
Source: RNAcentral
CGGCCUACACAUGCAAGUCGAGCGGAUGAGAGGAGCUUGCUCCUUGAUUUAGCGGCGGACGGGUGAGUAAUGCCUAGGAAUCUGCCUGGUAGUGGGGGAUAACGUUCCGAAAGGAACGCUAAUACCGCAUACGUCCUACGGGAGAAAGCAGGGGACCUUCGGGCCUUGCGCUAUCAGAUGAGCCUAGGUCGGAUUAGCUAGUUGGUGAGGUAAUGGCUCACCAAGGCGACGAUCCGUAACUGGUCUGAGAGGAUGAUCAGUCACACUGGAACUGAGACACGGUCCAGACUCCUACGGGAGGCAGCAGUGGGGAAUAUUGGACAAUGGGCGAAAGCCUGAUCCAGCCAUGCCGCGUGUGUGAAGAAGGUCUUCGGAUUGUAAAGCACUUUAAGUUGGGAGGAAGGGCAUUAACCUAAUACGUUAGUGUUUUGACGUUACCGACAGAAUAAGCACCGGCUAACUUCGUGCCAGCAGCCGCGGUAAUACGAAGGGUGCAAGCGUUAA